This 468-nucleotide ribosomal RNA is filed under the name uncultured bacterium. Its description in RNAcentral is "partial 16S ribosomal RNA". It matches the Rfam family "Bacterial small subunit ribosomal RNA", at positions 28 to 507 of the family's 1533-position model. The record is from RNAcentral.
GACGAACGCUGGCGGCGUGCUUAACACAUGCAAGUCGAACGGAAAGGCCCUGCUUUUGUGGGGUGCCCGAGUGGCGAUCGGGUGCGUAACACGUGAGUAACCUACCCUUCACUUUGGGAUAACUUCAGGAAACUGGGGCUAAUACCGGAUAGGAGCUCCUGCUUCAUGGUGGGGGUUGGAAAGUUUCGGCGGUUGGGGAUGGACUGGCGGGUUAUCAGCUUGUUGGUGGGGUAGGGGCUUACCAAGGAUUUGACGGGUAGCCGGCCUGAGAGGGUGACCGGGCUCAUGGGGACUGCGAUACGGCGCAGACUCCUAUGGGAGGCAGCAGUGGGGAAUAUUGCACAAUGGGAGGAAGUCUGAUGCAGAGACGCCGCGUGCGGGAUGACGGCUUGUGGGGUGUAAACCGCUUUCGCCUGUGACGAAGCGUGAGUGACGGUAAUGGGUAAAGAAGCACCGGCUAACUACGUG